Molecule: unclassified non-coding RNA, 416 nt
Filed under: Hevea brasiliensis (rubber tree)
Lineage: Eukaryota; Viridiplantae; Streptophyta; Magnoliopsida; Malpighiales; Euphorbiaceae
Source: RNAcentral
GUUCAAAGCCCUUCCCUUUCCCCUUCGUCUCAUUCUCCACCAUCAAUCACAACAACUAAAUUGAGCAAAUAUCAACAAUGGAGGUGCAGAAGAGCAAUCAAGCCAAGGAGGAGAUGAAAGGAUCAGCCAACAACCGAAACUACGCUGCUCCCCAGCUCACCAUCUUUUACGGUGGAUCGAUCUGUGUCUUCGAUGCCGUGCCGCCGGAGAAGGCCCAGGCGAUCAUGCUAAUUGCCACCGCCGCGGCAGCUGCUGCAAAGAGUAGAGCCGGUACCUGGGCUUCUUCAACUGCGACAACGGUUUCCGGUCCCCAAAGUUCGCUCAAGCUGCAGGCUGAGCUUCCGGUCGCAAGGAGGCACUCGCUCCAGCGCUUCUUGGAGAAGCGUCGUGACAGGUUGGUGAACAGAGCUCCAUAU